RNAcentral lists this ribosomal RNA (454 nucleotides) under uncultured Prevotella sp. Its description in RNAcentral is "partial 16S ribosomal RNA". It matches the Rfam family "Bacterial small subunit ribosomal RNA", at positions 341 to 792 of the family's 1533-position model. The record is from RNAcentral. Lineage: Bacteria; Pseudomonadati; Bacteroidota; Bacteroidia; Bacteroidales; Prevotellaceae.
ACGGGAGGCAGCAGUGAGGAAUAUUGGUCAAUGGGCGUAAGCCUGAACCAGCCAAGUAGCGUGGAGGAUGACGGCCCUACGGGUUGUAAACUCCUUUUGCCGGGGGAUAAAAAACGGGACGUGUCCCGUCUUGCAGGUACCCGCGCGAAUAAGGACCGGCUAAUUCCGUGCCAGCAGCCGCGGUAAUACGGAAGGUCCGAGCGUUAUCCGGAUUUAUUGGGUUUAAAGGGAGCGCAGGCGGAGAGGCAAGCCAGCCGUAAAAUCGUUGAGCUCAACUCAAUCUCGCGGUUGGAACUGCUUCCCUUGAGUGCACGAGAGGAUGGUGGAAUUCGUGGCGUAGCGGUGAAAUGCAUAGAUAUCACGAAGAACUCCGAUUGCGUAGGCAGUCGCCUGGGGUGCCACUGACGCUGAGGCACGAAGGUGCGGGUAUCAAACAGGAUUAGAUACCCUGGUA